RNAcentral lists this ribosomal RNA (485 nucleotides) under uncultured bacterium. RNAcentral describes it as "bacterial SSU rRNA". It matches the Rfam family "Bacterial small subunit ribosomal RNA", at positions 31 to 518 of the family's 1533-position model. The record is from RNAcentral.
GAACGCUGGCGGCAUGCCUUACACAUGCAAGUCGAACGGCAGCGCGGGGCAACCUGGCGGCGAGUGGCGAACGGGUGAGUAAUAUAUCGGAACGUACCCUGGAGUGGGGGAUAACGUAGCGAAAGUUACGCUAAUACCGCAUACGAUCUAAGGAUGAAAUGGGGGAUCGCAAGACCUCAUGCUCCUGGAGCGGCCGAUAUCUGAUUAGCUAGUUGGUGGGGUAAAGGCCUACCAAGGCAUCGAUCAGUAGCUGGUCUGAGAGGACGACCAGCCACACUGGAACUGAGACACGGUCCAGACUCCUACGGGAGGCAGCAGUGAGGAAUAUUGGUCAAUGGACGAGAGUCUGAACCAGCCAAGUCGCGUGCAGGAAGAAUGUCCUAAUGGAUUGUAAACUGCUUUUGCAGGGGAAUAAAGUGCAUCACGUGUGAUGUUUUGUAUGUACUCUGCGAAUAAGGAUCGGCUAACUCCGUGCCAGCCGCAGC